Non-coding RNA from Cicer arietinum (chickpea), 1680 nucleotides. NCBI's taxonomy places the organism in Eukaryota, Viridiplantae, Streptophyta, Magnoliopsida, Fabales, Fabaceae. The record is from RefSeq and is a predicted model, not a curated record.
UAGGGAAAGUUGUAGAGUAUUGGAGGAGAUGAAAAUGCUACCGUAGGACACGUGGCAUCACCUAAACCUUAAGAUUGAUCUAACAGUGAAAAGGUACUCUGGCUGUGGAUGGAAUGUAUGGUCGAUUGGUGAUGUGUUCAAUUUGUCCUUCCAUAUCCAUUCUCCAUACCAGGAAGCUAUCAACCCUCGUGGAGCUAUUGAUGGCAUCAUCAAGCUUCGACUUCCUCAGCCUGAAGCCUUACACUCCUCCUUCAUGGGCAUCCCACCUCGACCCUAUACCUUCUCAUGUCUUCUCUCUUGCCCAUCUUCCGACUCCAAUUCACCGAUGGAACCUUCCAAACUUGCCACCCAAUACGGAAGUGUGGCUCAAGCGCGAUGACCUUUCCGGAAUGCAAUUGAGUGGAAACAAAGUGAGGAAAUUAGAGUUCUUAUUGGCAGAUGCAAUUGCUGAAGGUGCCGACUCUGUUAUUACAAUUGGAGGCAUCCAAAGCAACCAUUGUCGCGCCACUGCCGUUGCUGCUAAGUAUUUGAAUCUCGACCCUUUCCUUAUACUCCGCACUUCUAAACUCCUUGUUGACCAAGAUCCAUCCCUCACAGGCAAUCUCCUAGUUGAGCGUUUGGUUGGAGCUAACCUUCAACUUAUAUCCAAAGAAGAAUACGCACAAAUUGGAAGUGUCACACUUGCCAACCUCCUCAAACAAAAGUUGAUCAACCAAGGAAGGAACCCAUACGUUAUUCCCGUUGGCGGAUCCAACUCUCUCGGAACAUGGGGUUACAUAGAGGCAGUUCGGGAAAUUGAGAUGCAGAUUCAAAGUGGAACAAGCAAUGUCAAGUUUGAUGAUAUUGUUGUGGCUUGUGGCAGUGGGGGCACAAUUGCUGGUCUAUCACUGGGUUCAUCAUUGAGUACCUUGAAAGCAAGGGUUCAUGCAUUCUCUGUUUGUGAUGACCCGGAUUACUUCCACGACUUUGUCCAAGGCUUGAUUGAUGGACUCAAAGCUGGUGUUAACUCUAGAGAUAUUGUCCACAUACAAAAUAAACAAUGUGCUUGUCUGACAAGUCAUAUCAUGGAGGUUCUUGGAAGACCUGUCUGGCCAAGGGUCUUGGCUACGCAAUGAACACUUCUGAGGAGCUUAGUUUUGUAAAAGAAGUUGCUGAAGCUACUGGUGUUGUUCUUGACCCAGUAUACAGCGGUAAGGCUGCAUAUGCAAUGCUUAAAGAUAUGAAUGAAAAUCCAAAGAAAUGGGAAGGGAGGAAGAUCCUCUUCAUACAUACGGGUGGCCUCUUAGGAUUGUAUGACAAGGUGGAUCAGCUGGCUUCUUUUGUAGGGAAUUGGCAGCGAAUGGAUGUUAAUGAAUCUGUUCCUAGGCAGGAUGGUAUUGGAAAAAUGUUCUAGAGAAAGAAAGAAAAACCCUUGAAUUGCUUGCAUCUAUAUUUUGUAGUAUCUUGUUCAAAAUUCUGAAGUUGAUAUGCGAUAUCAAAAAAAUUAGUGAUGAUAAGAUGGGUGGCGUCUAGAGUGGAGAUAGCUGACUAUAACGGAUGCUAUUUGUUAAGAAGCUUUUUAGCAUCACGAAGUGCACAACACAUACAAAUUGAUUUUGUAAAACUGUCAAAUAUUGAAGUCACGUGUGUCGUGUAAUAAAAGGGUGGACGGCACUAUAUAAUCAGCUUUAUUAGUUACUA